UGCAGGGCUCAAAUCCUGGAGAGGCUGU
Molecule: non-coding RNA, 28 nt
Filed under: Homo sapiens (human)
Lineage: Eukaryota; Metazoa; Chordata; Mammalia; Primates; Hominidae
Source: RNAcentral